RNAcentral lists this ribosomal RNA (384 nucleotides) under uncultured bacterium. Its description in RNAcentral is "partial 16S ribosomal RNA". It matches the Rfam family "Bacterial small subunit ribosomal RNA", at positions 355 to 730 of the family's 1533-position model. The record is from RNAcentral.
UGGGGAAUUUUGGACAAUGGGCGCAAGCCUGAUCCAGCAAUGCCGCGUGCAGGAUGAAGGCCUUCGGGUUGUAAACUGCUUUUGUACGGAACGAAAAGCCUCCCUCUAAUACAGGGGGGUUGAUGACGGUACCGUAAGAAUAAGCACCGGCUAACUACGUGCCAGCAGCCGCGGUAAUACGUAGGGUGCAAGCGUUAAUCGGAAUUACUGGGCGUAAAGCGUGCGCAGGCGGUUUUGUAAGACAGUGGUGAAAUCCCCGGGCUCAACCUGGGAACUGCCAUUGUGACUGCAAGGCUGGAGUGCGGCAGAGGGGGUAUGGAAUUCCGCGUGUAGCAGUGAAUGCGUAGAUAUGCGGAGGAACACCGAUGGCGAAGGCAAUCCCCU